Molecule: ribosomal RNA, 375 nt
Filed under: uncultured bacterium
Lineage: Bacteria
Description: bacterial SSU rRNA
Rfam family: Bacterial small subunit ribosomal RNA
Source: RNAcentral
AUUGAACGCUGGCGGCGGGCCUAACACAUGCAAGUCGAGCGGGGAGCAAUCCCAGCGGCGAACGGGUGAGUAACACGUGGGUAAUGUGCCUUCUGGUGGGGAAUAACCUUGGGAAACCAGGGCUAAUACCGCAUAUCGUGCUUCGGCAUGAAAGCCUUCGGGCGCCAGUAGAGCAGCCUGCGUCCCAUUAUUUAGUCCUAGUUGGUAGGGUAAUGGCCUACCAAGGGUACGAUCUGUAGCUGGUCUGAGAGGAUGGCCAGCCACACUGGAACUGAGACACGGUCCAGACUCCUACGGGAGGCAGCAGUGGGGAAUAUUGGACAAUGGGGGCAACCCUGAUCCAGCCAUGCCGCGUGUGUGAAGAAGGCCUCGGUU